RNAcentral lists this ribosomal RNA (486 nucleotides) under uncultured bacterium. RNAcentral's name for it is "partial 16S ribosomal RNA". It matches the Rfam family "Bacterial small subunit ribosomal RNA", at positions 30 to 507 of the family's 1533-position model. The record is from RNAcentral.
AUUGAACGCUGGCGGCAUGCCUUACACAUGCAAGUCGAACGGCAGCACGGGUGCUUGCCCCUGGUGGCGAGUGGCGCACGGGUGAGUAAUACAUCGGAACAUGUCCUGUAGUGGGGGAUAGCACGGCGAAAGCCGGAUUAAUACCGCAUACGAUCUACUGAUGAAAGCGGGGGCCCUUCGGGCCUCGCGCUAUAGGGUUGGCCGAUGGCUGAUUAGCUAGUUGGUGGGGUAAAGGCCUACCAAGGCGACGAUCAGUAGCUGGUCUGAGAGGACGACCAGCCACACUGGGACUGAGACACGGCCCAGACUCCUACGGGAGGCAGCAGUGGGGAAUUUUGGACAAUGGGCGAAAGCCUGAUCCAGCAAUGCCGCGUGUGUGAAGAAGGCCUUCGGGUUGUAAAGCACUUUUGUCCGGAAAGAAAUCCUUGGCCCUAAUACGGUCGGGGGAUGACGGUACCGGAAGAAUAAGCACCGGCUAACUACGUG